AUGCAGUGGUGUGGGUUGGCGGUGUCUGUUGUCUGCGGUGGUCAGAGCGAUCAGUUGUGUGUGGGCUGCGGUGAGCUGCGACAAGUUGGCUGCGGCGAGGUCUGGUUGCUGCCGAUGAUGGCGCUGGCGUGCCGCAAGCUAGAGCCGGGGCAUGGCAGCGUGAUGGUGUUGUGGUUGCGGCGGCAUGGUUUGCGGGUGGCAGAGGAUGCAUUGGUUGGCAGCAGUCAAUAUACGAUGCGGAGGUUCGGGGUGGUGUCCUUUUUGGCACCGAUGAUGGUGGUUUGCGGUGAAGUCAGAGUCGUUGGCUUGCGGAGGAGUGAUGACGAUGACACUUGUAGUCCGCCUCGACGGCGCUCCUCUUUCGAUGGCAUCAUUGCAUGUCAGCAGUUUCACACCAAAGGAAAGAUAAGGGAGGCAGAAGCGGAUUGUGCACAACGAGUUUUGGUUAAACAUUUGAUGGAUUUUGGAAUAAGGAGUGGCAAGAUCCUAAGCUUGGGGAUGCCUAAGGCACCCCAAGGUAAAAUUCAAGGACAACCAAAAGCCUAA
Molecule: ribosomal RNA, 546 nt
Filed under: Triticum aestivum (bread wheat)
Lineage: Eukaryota; Viridiplantae; Streptophyta; Magnoliopsida; Poales; Poaceae
Description: partial small subunit ribosomal RNA
Source: RNAcentral